UAGGGAAUAUUGCAAAAUGGGCGCAAGCCCGAUGCAGCAACGCCGCGUGGGCGAUGAAGGCCUUCGGGUCGUAAAGCCCUUUUUGAGGGGAUGAGGAAGGACAGUACCCUCAGAAUAAGCCUCGGCUAACUACGUGCCAGCAGCCGCGGUAAAACGUAGGAGGCGAGCGUUAUCCGGAUUUACUGGGCGUAAAGCGCGUGCAGGCGGAUUGGAGAGUUGGAUGUAAAAGCUCCCGGCUUAACUGGGAGAGGUCGUUCAAUACUUCCAGUCUUGAGUGCAGUAGAGGGAAGUGGAAUUCCGGGUGUAGUGGUGAAAUGCGUAGAUAUCCGGAGGAACACCAGUGGCGAAAGCGGCUUCCUGGACUGUAACUGACGCUCAGACGCGAAAGCUAGGGUAGCA
This 399-nucleotide ribosomal RNA is filed under the name uncultured bacterium. RNAcentral's name for it is "bacterial SSU rRNA". It matches the Rfam family "Bacterial small subunit ribosomal RNA", at positions 355 to 770 of the family's 1533-position model. The record is from RNAcentral.